UACGUAGGGUGCAAGCGUUAAUCGGAAUUACUGGGCGUAAAGCGUGCGCAGGCGGCUUUGCAAGACAGAUGUGAAAUCCCCGGGCUCAACCUGGGAAUGGCAUUUGGGACUGCAAGGCUAGAGUGUGGCAGAGGAGACUGGAAUUCCCGGUGUAGCAGUGAAAUGCGUAGAUAUCGGGAGGAAUACCGAUGGCGAAGGCAGGUCUCUGGGCUGACACUGACGCUCAUGCACGAAAGCGUGGGGAGCAAACAGG
Molecule: ribosomal RNA, 253 nt
Filed under: uncultured bacterium
Lineage: Bacteria
Description: partial 16S ribosomal RNA
Rfam family: Bacterial small subunit ribosomal RNA
Source: RNAcentral